GAUGAACGCUGGCGGCGUGCCUAAUACAUGCAAGUCGAGCGAACGGACGAGAAGCUUGCUUCUCUGAUGUUAGCGGCGGACGGGUGAGUAACACGUGGAUAACCUACCUAUAAGACUGGGAUAACUUCGGGAAACCGGAGCUAAUACCGGAUAAUAUUUUGAACCGCAUGGUUCAAAAGUGAAAGACGGUCUUGCUGUCACUUAUAGAUGGAUCCGCGCUGCAUUAGCCAGUUGGUAAGGUAACGGCUUACCAAGGCAACGAUGCAUAGCCGACCUGAGAGGGUGAUCGGCCACACUGGAACUGAGACACGGUCCAGACUCCUACGGGAGGCAGCAGUAGGGAAUCUUCCGCAAUGGGCGAAAGCCUGACGGAGCAACGCCGCGUGAGUGAUGAAGGUCUUCGGAUCGUAAAACUCUGUUAUUAGGGAAGAACAUAUGUGUAAGUAACUGUGCACACCUUGACGGUACCUAAUCAGAAAGCCACGGCUAACUACGUGCCAGCAGCCGCGGUAAUACGUAGGUGGCAAGCGUUAUCCGGAAUUAUUGGGCGUAAAGCGCGCGUAGGCGGUUUUUUAAGUCUGAUGUGAAAGCCCACGGCUCAACCGUGGAGGGUCAUUGGAAACUGGAAAACUUGAGUGCAGAAGAGGAAAGUGGAAUUCCAUGUGUAGCGGUGAAAUGCGCAGAGAUAUGGAGGAACACCAGUGGCGAAGGCGACUUUCUGGUCUGUAACUGACGCUGAUGUGCGAAAGCGUGGGGAUCAAACAGGAUUAGAUACCCUGGUAGUCCACGCCGUAAACGAUGAGUGCUAAGUGUUAGGGGGUUUCCGCCCCUUAGUGCUGCAGCUAACGCAUUAAGCACUCCGCCUGGGGAGUACGACCGCAAGGUUGAAACUCAAAGGAAUUGACGGGGACCCGCACAAGCGGUGGAGCAUGUGGUUUAAUUCGAAGCGACGCGAAGAACCUUACCAAAUCUUGACAUCCUUUGACAACUCUAGAGAUAGAGCCUUCCCCUUCGGGGGACAAAGUGACAGGUGGUGCAUGGUUGUCGUCAGCUCGUGUCGUGAGAUGUUGGGUUAAGUCCCGCAACGAGCGCAACCCUUAAGCUUAGUUGCCAUCAUUAAGUUGGGCACUCUAAGUUGACUGCCGGUGACAAACCGGAGGAAGGUGGGGAUGACGUCAAAUCAUCAUGCCCCUUAUGAUUUGGGCUACACACGUGCUACAAUGGACAAUACAAAGGGCAGCGAAACCGCGAGGUCAAGCAAAUCCCAUAAAGUUGUUCUCAGUUCGGAUUGUAGUCUGCAACUCGACUACAUGAAGCUGGAAUCGCUAGUAAUCGUAGAUCAGCAUGCUACGGUGAAUACGUUCCCGGGUCU
This 1372-nucleotide ribosomal RNA is filed under the name uncultured bacterium. RNAcentral describes it as "bacterial SSU rRNA". It matches the Rfam family "Bacterial small subunit ribosomal RNA", at positions 28 to 1381 of the family's 1533-position model. The record is from RNAcentral.